Molecule: ribosomal RNA, 531 nt
Filed under: Escherichia coli
Lineage: Bacteria; Pseudomonadati; Pseudomonadota; Gammaproteobacteria; Enterobacterales; Enterobacteriaceae
Description: bacterial SSU rRNA
Rfam family: Bacterial small subunit ribosomal RNA
Source: RNAcentral
GUGCCUUCGGGAACCGUGAGACAGGUGCUGCAUGGCUGUCGUCAGCUCGUGUUGUGAAAUGUUGGGUUAAGUCCCGCAACGAGCGCAACCCUUAUCCUUUGUUGCCAGCGGUCCGGCCGGGAACUCAAAGGAGACUGCCAGUGAUAAACUGGAGGAAGGUGGGGAUGACGUCAAGUCAUCAUGGCCCUUACGACCAGGGCUACACACGUGCUACAAUGGCGCAUACAAAGAGAAGCGACCUCGCGAGAGCAAGCGGACCUCAUAAAGUGCGUCGUAGUCCGGAUUGGAGUCUGCAACUCGACUCCAUGAAGUCGGAAUCGCUAGUAAUCGUGGAUCAGAAUGCCACGGUGAAUACGUUCCCGGGCCUUGUACACACCGCCCGUCACACCAUGGGAGUGGGUUGCAAAAGAAGUAGGUAGCUUAACCUUCGGGAGGGCGCUUACCACUUUGUGAUUCAUGACUGGGGUGAAGUCGUAACAAGGUAACCGUAGGGGAACCUGCGGUUGGAUCACCUCCUUACCUUAAAGAAGC